Long non-coding RNA from Oncorhynchus keta (chum salmon), 520 nucleotides. RefSeq lists it as uncharacterized. The record is from RefSeq and is a predicted model, not a curated record. The transcript is spliced from 3 exons. Lineage: Eukaryota; Metazoa; Chordata; Actinopteri; Salmoniformes; Salmonidae.
UCAUUAUAUAAAGGGUUAGUCAUUAUAUAAAUGGUUAGUCACUACAUCAAGGGUUAGUCACUAUAUAAAUGGUUAGUCAUUAUAUAAAGGGUUAGUCACUAUAUAAAGGGUUAGUCACUAUAUAAAGGGUUAGUCACUAUAAAGGUUUAGUCACUAUAUAAAUGGUUAGUCACUAUAUAAAUGGUUAGUCACUACAUCAAGGGUUAGGGUUAGACACUACAUCAAAGGUUAGGGUUAGACACUACAUCAAAGGUUAGGGUUAGACACUACAUCAAAGGUUAGGGUUAGACACUACAUCAAAGGUUAGGGUUAGACACUACAUCAAAGGUUAGGGUUAGACACUACAUCAAAGGUUAGGGUUAGACACUACAUCAAAGGUUAGGGUUAGACACUACAUCAAAGGUUAGGGUUAGACACUACAUCAAAGGUUAGGGUUAGACACUACAUCAAAGGUUAGGGUUAGACACUACAUCAAAGGUUAGGGUUAGCAUACCUGAGCCACUAAAGGUAGAGCUAGUAG